This is a long non-coding RNA of Beta vulgaris subsp. vulgaris (sugar beet), 1493 nucleotides long. RefSeq lists it as uncharacterized. The transcript has 2 exons. The record is from RefSeq and is a predicted model, not a curated record. Lineage: Eukaryota; Viridiplantae; Streptophyta; Magnoliopsida; Caryophyllales; Amaranthaceae.
ACAAUCCUACGUGGCGCUCUCUCUUUCUCUUUCUCUUUCUCUUUCUCUUUCUCUCUCUCUCUCUCCCUCUCCUCUGUUCACAACCUUCUGUUGUCUCAAUUAUCUUCAACAAAUCUUUUGUAUUCAAAGUUGCAGAUCUCGAAAAGUUAUCGAAUUUAGACUCAAAAAUUACUCAAUUAGGAGUUGUGUGGUAGGAGUUAUGCCCAUUUGAAUUUUUCGGUUGUUGCUGCCAUUUUUGUUGCGCUGAUGCUCGUGUAGAAACAACAAGCUCUUCAUUGCUUCUCUAAAUUAUUUCCCUUUUUGUUAUGUGUAAGAGAUGACUCCAAUUUCUUAUCAUCUAUUGCACGCAAAGGUAAAAUUAGUCUUCUUAGUUUUCAAUCUUAUUUUCAAAAAGAAUAUUUCAAAUAGUUUAUGCCGAUAAUCAUAUAAUUCACUAUUACUAUAUUUUUAAUCAAAGGAAAUGGCUAAAAUUAGCUAAUUCAACGAUUGUUUUUUAUACCGUUGCAGUAGGAGCAUCUAUUGCAAGGUCAUUUUAGGUUUGUACACUAGUAGAAUAAAUGUUAAUUGCAGCGGUUGAAUUGUAACGGUCUUGUCAGUAUGCAACAAUAAACAUUGUUAAAAGAAAAUGAGAAAUCGAAAACAUACUUAUUGUUGCGGUUUUUGGUGGAAACCACAUCAGUUGAUGUCAAUGGAAGUUUUUUUCAAAAUUUUUUGACUGGUUUGACUAAAUUUAUUGCUGCGGUUUUCACCCAUGCAUAAGCACAUCAAUAUAUUAAAAUAUUAUUUUCAUAAUAUUUUAAUCUAUUGCUGCAGUAUCUAUAAGAAAUCGCAGCAAUAAUAUGGUCAUUAGGGUUUUUUUAACCUUUUUGCAAUAGGGUUAUUAGGCGCCAUUUUAUCCUUCACCCCUCAUUUUCAUCAGUUCAACCUCACCCUCUCUCACUCACCCUUCACCCUCCACCCUCCCUCCUCCUCUUUCUCACUCAUCUCUAGAUAUGCUCCUUCCUCCUCUAUCACUCUCACCCUCCUUCCUCCUCUAUCACGCUCACCCUGCACCCUCGUUACUCGCCAUCGUUGGUCAAUUCUCGUCGUUCUUCUCCUUCAUCGGCCUUCUCCUUCAUCGGCCUUCUCCUUCAUCAUCCUCGAGCUUCCUUCUCGUCGUUCUUCUCUUUCGCCGACCUUUCUUCUUAUCCGUUCACCAGACGAUACUCCAGUCCUCGUCAUCAUCGUUCUUCGCUCGACCUCGUCGACUUUUGUACUUUUUUCACCAAACGAAAGUUCGUGGCUUGGGUCGCCGUGGCUCGGUCGUACCGUAGCUUGGGUCGUCGUGGCUCGAUACUGUAACUUUCUUUAUUUAGUUUCAAUUUCUUCUUUAGUUAGUUUCAUUUCCUCAUUUUCUUUUAUGGUUCAUUUUUUUUUAUCUUUUGUAUAUUGUAAUUGUUUUAUUUUCAUUAUUAAUGAUUUUGUACACAAUGUAUGGAUUCAAUGUGUUGUAA